GCAGCAGUAACAGAGGCGUCGCCAGCCAUGAAGGCCGCGCUCGUAACGAGUGUCCUCCUACUGCUGCUGCUGCUGGUACUGCAGGCGCCUGCGGAGGAGACCGACCACUGGGAGCGCCGCGAAGUGUGUACUCCUGGCGAUACGAUGACGGAAGACUGCAACGAUUGUUUCUGCAUCGACAGGGGACAAUGGAUGUGCACUCUCAGAAAAUGCGGCAAGCAGAAAAGACAGGCGAGAUGCCCGCCUGGGACUACGUUCCUGAGGAAGUGCAGCAGGUGCGUCUGUGACGAUGACGGAGAAACGGCCACGUGCACCAGGACAUGCCCUGGCAAGUAGAAUGGCGAGUACGGGCCUUCGCUGAUCCUACUCUGGAAGUUUAUGGAUAAAUCCUUCCAAUUUCUUCAAACACUUUUUCCAUGUGUUCACUGUAUUUUUUUAUGAAAACUUGGUCCUUGAUAUAAGACUUGAUCCUUGUGUUUAUCAGUGUAAUUGAUAUAGCAAUAAAAAAUACUUGGUUCAUA
Molecule: long non-coding RNA, 521 nt
Organism: Schistocerca serialis cubense
Lineage: Eukaryota; Metazoa; Arthropoda; Insecta; Orthoptera; Acrididae
Exons: 4
Source: RefSeq, a predicted model, not a curated record